AUACUUACCUGGCAGGGGAGACACCAUGAUCAAUCAGGUGGUUUUCCCAUGUCCUCCACAGGAGGUUUAUAUUGAGCAGAUUCUUUUUGGUAUUGGUUGGUGGAACCGGAGCGUGCUCCAUCCACU
RNAcentral lists this small nuclear RNA (126 nucleotides) under Crocodylus porosus (Australian saltwater crocodile). RNAcentral's name for it is "U1 spliceosomal RNA (ENSCPRG00005004820.1)". It matches the Rfam family "U1 spliceosomal RNA". Rfam says of the family: U1 is a small nuclear RNA (snRNA) component of the spliceosome (involved in pre-mRNA splicing). Its 5' end forms complementary base pairs with the 5' splice junction, thus defining the 5' donor site of an intron. There are significant differences in sequence and secondary structure between metazoan and yeast U1 snRNAs, the latter being much longer (568 nucleotides as compared to 164 nucleotides in human). Lineage: Eukaryota; Metazoa; Chordata; Crocodylia; Crocodylidae. The record is from RNAcentral.